Molecule: ribosomal RNA, 182 nt
Filed under: Chelicorophium robustum
Lineage: Eukaryota; Metazoa; Arthropoda; Malacostraca; Amphipoda; Corophiidae
Description: partial 18S ribosomal RNA
Source: RNAcentral
UUUUAUUAGACCAAACCGCUGGGAGUUGUCGCGUUGCACUUCGGUGUGGCCGGCAGCUUGACUCUCGCUUUAUGGUGACUCUGGAUAACCAUUUCUGACAAGCGCACGUACCCCUCUCCGAGUGGGACGGCGCUGCCACUUUCGAGUGUCUGCCUUAUCAGCUGUCAACCGCUCGCUACACG